RNAcentral lists this ribosomal RNA (253 nucleotides) under uncultured bacterium. Its description in RNAcentral is "partial 16S ribosomal RNA". It matches the Rfam family "Bacterial small subunit ribosomal RNA", at positions 524 to 776 of the family's 1533-position model. The record is from RNAcentral.
UACGUAGGCAGCGAGCGUUGUUCGGAGUUACUGGGCGUAAAGGGUGUGUAAGCGGUUCUUUAAGUUUGGUGUGAAAUCUCCCGGCUCAACCGGGAGGGUGCGCCGAAUACUGAGGGACUAGAGUAUGGGAUGGGAAAGUGGAAUUCCUGGUGUAGCGGUGAAAUGCGUAGAUAUCAGGAGGAACACCAGUGGUGUAGACGGCUUUCUGGACCAUAACUGACGCUGAGACACGAAAGCGUGGGUAGCAAACAGG